UACGUAGGGGGCGAGCGUUGUCCGGAUUCAUUGGGCGUAAAGAGCUCGUAGGCGGUUCAGUAAGUCGGGUGUGAAAUCUCCGUGCUCAACACGGAGCGGCCACCUGAUACUGCUGUGACUCGAGUCCGGUAGGGGAGUGUGGAAUUCCCGGUGUAGCGGUGAAAUGCGUAGAGAUCGGAAAGAACACCAACGCGAAGCACUCUGCGUGGGACCGACACUGACACUGAGAGACGAAAGCUAGGGGAGCGAAUGGG
RNAcentral lists this ribosomal RNA (254 nucleotides) under uncultured bacterium. RNAcentral describes it as "partial 16S ribosomal RNA". It matches the Rfam family "Bacterial small subunit ribosomal RNA", at positions 524 to 776 of the family's 1533-position model. The record is from RNAcentral.